UAUUAGUUGGGUUUCCUGGUGUCUCUUUAGCAAGUGAAGUUUCUGGUUCCCUCCUUCACUGUGUGACCUGCCUAGUCCUCCUGGGUCGCAUUUACAGAAGUUUAUACGAGACCUAGUUUCCAGGGAAGAACUCACUGAUUCCGCGAGGGAGAUGGCGUAAUAGAUGAUGGUCGUCAGCCUUAAGGGUACUUCAGUCUUAACUGUGUGUUAGAAAGUUUGAAAGGGAGGGUUCCCUAUGAAUAAGAAGCACACUUGAAAGAACAGCCGUCUGGUCUAACCUCUCACUGGUGCUUCAGAGGAGGAAAAAAGGUCACAGCUAUGUUUCCAGUGUCCUCUGGGUGUUUCCAAGAGCAACAAGAAACGAAUAAAUCUCUGCCAUAGGAGUUUUAGCCAAUUCAGAGGCCUUGCUCCCUACAAUUUGGAACAUUCCUUUGGAUUUGACCAAGUCAGGAAGAG
RNAcentral lists this long non-coding RNA (456 nucleotides) under Homo sapiens (human). Its description in RNAcentral is "HSALNT0319536". Lineage: Eukaryota; Metazoa; Chordata; Mammalia; Primates; Hominidae. The record is from RNAcentral.